GAUGAACGCUGGCGGCGUGCCUAAUACAUGCAAGUCGAGCGAACAGACGAGGAGCUUGCUCCUCUGACGUUAGCGGCGGACGGGUGAGUAACACGUGGAUAACCUACCUAUAAGACUGGGAUAACUUCGGGAAACCGGAGCUAAUACCGGAUAAUAUAUUGAACCGCAUGGUUCAAUAGUGAAAGACGGUUUUGCUGUCACUUAUAGAUGGAUCCGCGCCGCAUUAGCUAGUUGGUAAGGUAACGGCUUACCAAGGCAACGAUGCGUAGCCGACCUGAGAGGGGGAUCGGCCACACUGGAACUGAGACCCGGUCCAGACUCCUACGGGAGGCAGCAGUAGGGAAUCUUCCGCAAGGGGCGAAAGCCUGACGGAGCAACGCCGCGGGAGUGAUGAAGGUCUUCGGAUCGUAAAACUCUGUUAUUAGGGAAGAACAAAUGUGUAAGUAACUAUGCACGUCUUGACGGUACCUAAUCAGAAAGCCACGGCUAACUACGUG
RNAcentral lists this ribosomal RNA (497 nucleotides) under uncultured bacterium. RNAcentral describes it as "partial 16S ribosomal RNA". It matches the Rfam family "Bacterial small subunit ribosomal RNA", at positions 28 to 507 of the family's 1533-position model. The record is from RNAcentral.